Molecule: ribosomal RNA, 667 nt
Filed under: Cortinarius marylandensis
Lineage: Eukaryota; Fungi; Basidiomycota; Agaricomycetes; Agaricales; Cortinariaceae
Description: partial ribosomal RNA
Rfam family: 5.8S ribosomal RNA (bases 269-422)
Source: RNAcentral
UUUCCGUAGGUGAACCUGCGGAAGGAUCAUUAUUGAAAUAAACCUGAUGGGUUGCUGCUGGCUUUCUAGGAAGCAUGUGCACACUUGUCAUCUUUACAUCUCCACCUGUGCACCUUUUGUAGAUCUGGAUAUCUUUCUGAAUGCCUGGCAUUCAGGUUUGAGGAUUGACUUUUGUCUUUCCUUACAUUUCCAGGCCUAUGUUUUCUUCAUAUACACCCUGUAUGUUAUAGAAUGUAAUAAUAAGGGCCUUUGUGCUACAAACCUAUACAACUUUCAGCAACGGAUCUCUUGGCUCUCGCAUCGAUGAAGAACGCAGCGAAAUGCGAUAAGUAAUGUGAAUUGCAGAAUUCAGUGAAUCAUCGAAUCUUUGAACGCACCUUGCGCUCCUUGGUAUUCCGAGGAGCAUGCCUGUUUGAGUGUCAUUAAUAUAUCAACCUCUUCAGGUUUUACUUGUAGAGUGUUUGGAUGUGGGGGUAUCUUUUGCUGGUCUCUUUUGAGGUCGGCUCCCCUAAAAUGCAUUAGCGGAACAAUUUGUUGACCCGUUCAUUGGUGUGAUAACUAUCUACGCUAUUGACGUUAAGCAGGUUCAGCUUCUAACAGUCCAUUGACUUGGACAAAUUUUCAUUAAUGUGACCUCAAAUCAGGUAGGACUACCCGCUGAACUUAA